RNAcentral lists this non-coding RNA (21 nucleotides) under Caenorhabditis elegans. The record is from RNAcentral. Lineage: Eukaryota; Metazoa; Nematoda; Chromadorea; Rhabditida; Rhabditidae.
UGGGUGAAGCUUUUGAAUUAA